GAUGAAGAACGUAGCGAAAUGCGAUAAGUAAUGUGAAUUGCAGAAUUCAGUGAAUCAUCGAGUUUUUGAACGCAUAUUGCGCCCUCUGGUAUUCCGGGGGGCAUGCCUGUCCGAGCGUCAUUGCUGCCCUCAAGCACGGCUUGUGUGUUGGGCCUCCGUCCUCCUCCCGGGGGACGGGCCCGAAAGGCAGCGGCGGCACCGCGUCCGGUCCUCGAGCGUAUGGGGCUUCGUCACCCGCUCUUGUAGGCCCGGCCGGCGCUUGCCGACACAUCAAUCUUUUUUCCAGGUUGACCUCGGAUCAGGUAGGGAUACCCGCUGAACUUAAGCAUAUCAAUAAGCGGAGGA
RNAcentral lists this unclassified non-coding RNA (345 nucleotides) under soil metagenome. RNAcentral describes it as "partial contains 5.8S ribosomal RNA, internal transcribed spacer 2, and large subunit ribosomal RNA". The stretch from base 1 to 120 matches the Rfam family "5.8S ribosomal RNA", at positions 35 to 154 of the family's 154-position model. The record is from RNAcentral.